UCUAAAUCACAGAGUCCUUUGCCAAAGAA
RNAcentral lists this non-coding RNA (29 nucleotides) under Rattus norvegicus (Norway rat). Lineage: Eukaryota; Metazoa; Chordata; Mammalia; Rodentia; Muridae. The record is from RNAcentral.